GGCGGGAUAGCUCAGUCGGUUAGAGCGGCGGAAUCAUAAUCCGCGUGUCGGGGGUUCAAGUCCCUCUCCCGCUACCA
RNAcentral lists this transfer RNA (77 nucleotides) under Holosporaceae bacterium. RNAcentral's name for it is "tRNA-Met". It matches the Rfam family "tRNA". Rfam says of the family: Transfer RNA (tRNA) molecules are approximately 80 nucleotides in length. Their secondary structure includes four short double-helical elements and three loops (D, anti-codon, and T loops). Lineage: Bacteria; Pseudomonadati; Pseudomonadota; Alphaproteobacteria; Holosporales; Holosporaceae. The record is from RNAcentral.